This 253-nucleotide ribosomal RNA is filed under the name uncultured bacterium. RNAcentral describes it as "partial 16S ribosomal RNA". It matches the Rfam family "Bacterial small subunit ribosomal RNA", at positions 524 to 776 of the family's 1533-position model. The record is from RNAcentral.
CACGUAGGGCGCGAGCGUUGUCCGGAAUUAUUGGGCGUAAAGAGCUCGUAGGCGGCCUGUUGCGUCCGCUGUGAAAGCCCGGGGCUUAACCCCGGGUCGGCAGUGGAUACGGGCAGGCUAGAGGUAGGUAGGGGAGAAUGGAAUUCCCGGUGUAGCGGUGAAAUGCGCAGAUAUCGGGAGGAACACCGGUGGCGAAGGCGGUUCUCUGGACAGUUCCUGACGCUGAGGCACGAAGGUCAGGGGAGCAAACGGG